AGUAGAGCAGGACAGUUCUUCGCACUUAACAACUUUUUCUUUUGGGGACUCAUCUCGACCUAUUCAGUUUCACCGAAGACGAAAAGAGCAGAACCAUGGAUGAUUACCAGAAAGUUGUCGCAGUUGUUUUCUUUAUAUUCUCGGUAGCAAGAACCGGCCCCAGAGUACCACAGAGUCGAAGCCCAUUAUGGAGAGGAUGUCACUGCUUUUCAGGACAUCUUGAUUGACGAAGAGGAAAAGUAUGUGGUUGUAACAGUGUCUAAACUUACGUCUAGAAAAGUGACGCCGUCUAUCAAUAUUCAUGACUUCAAAGAGGGAUUCAGUGCCAUUAAAGAUGUUGAACAGGGAACUUGCUACAUAGAAAAAACAAGACACACAUUUAACCAAAUGAUGUCAGAAGUAGAACGAGCAAAGCAGAAUGACGGAUACUACGAAGUCAAAGAGUGGUUCACUUGUACUUCAAAGACAUUCGUUGAGAAGUCACAGAUGUUGAACUAUGGUGAAAGGAUCGCAGCAUUUUGUGCAGACUACGAGUCUAUAUUCACCGAAAGGACUUACACAAAACGAACCAGAAGGUCAUUGAAAAUGAUUGCAGAAAAUGCUCUUGGCUGCUUCAUAUGUGGUGGUAUUUGUUUAUAAAGGAACGUGGAAUCAUCACAGAAGAUUACAACUUAUUAUACUGUCAAAUGCAUUUGAAUAACGUAAUAGCAAACUCGUUUUCAUUUUGAAAACUCAUAAUGAACGUCUUACCAGUGAUUAUCUGAAAUUAAAUAAAUAAAACAUACUCUUGUAUUGGCCACAGGUCAAAAUAGCUCCUGAACAUAUAUAUCUAAUUUUAUCAGAGUAUCAUCUAUGUGUAUACAUUACACUUGUGCACUCAUAAUACUUACAAAUCUAAUGCACAUAGCCAUUCUAAUAGGAAGAAGAAUAAUAUACUAAAAUCAGUAUUCAUAUUCAUGUGUCAUAACACUUGCAGUAACACCGGUUAAUACAAUUAAAACCUUAAACCGAUAGGCAAAAGAGGACAAUGUGCGCCUUAAAAUAUUUUAUACUAAGAAAUCAAAACCCGGUUAUGCACAUGUUUUUACAUGUAAUAUGAUAAUCACGUAAAUAUCUAUUUUGAAAAUGGUAAAAGAUCUAUACUAAAAACGCAUAUAUUACUACCCUCUUGUUUUCUUGUCGACGAAGAUUUGUUUGUUCGUUUGUUUUGGGAUUAACGCCGUUUUUCAACAGUAUUUCAGUCAUAUAACGGCGGGCAGUUAACUUAACCGGUAUUCCUGGAUUCUGUACCAGUACAAACCUGUUCUCUGCAAGUAACUGCCAACUUCCUCACAUGAAUCAGAGGUGGAGGACUAAUGAUUUCAGACACAAUGUCGUUUAUCAAAUAGUCACGGAGAACAUACGCCCCGCCCGAGGAUCGAACUUUCGACCCCGAGGUCCGUAGACCAACGCUCUUACCUACUGAGCUAAGCGGGCGGGAUUUUGUCGACGAAGAAUGCAUGAGGAAAGUUAUGAACAAUAUGUGAAUUAAUUCAUUCUACUGUAUGCAUUUUUUAAAUUACAUUUUCAAUGUAUUGUAUGCAGGAUUUCUAAAUUUAUAAAUGUAGGCCUAUACUUUUUAAGUAAGUAAUUUUUUCCUUGAGCCAAUUACAAAGUUUUAUACACGAGUGUUAAGAGUUGUUAUAAAACAUAUUAUAUAGUGUUUAAAUAGCUGUUUAUUUUCGCAUAGUUAAUGUCAAUAAACAUUUUUUCUGUCUACAUCAGGAUCUAUUUUAAUACUAUUUCAUAACUAACAAAUUCUAUUGAUUAUCAUCACUAAUGACAAAAAUAUAUAUUUUCGUGUUGCCAAAAUCUAUAUUGAACCACUAGACUCUAGCAUAAAAUGUAUAAAGUGAAGUCGCAGGUAGAGCAUCUACUAACGUUCAAAAAUAUAUUUCUAAAAACGAAUGUGUAAUUUUGAGUUGGAUUGCAUUUCCUCAGUUAAGAUAUUGGACCCGUAAUAGAGUAUCUCCUUUUUGAAGAGUAUUCAAUUCCUACUAUAAACCUACUUUGACUGCAAUUUUCAGGGGGGCGUAGGUUCAAACCCCACUGGGACCAAAUUUUUUUCCCCAUGUUUUCCUUUUUUCUAGUAAGUUUUUACUUCUUUCAAGACUAUUUAUGAAUGUUUUGUACAAAAGUGGAAAAUUUUCGUUUUAUACGCGAUUGUUUGCUGUUCAAUGUGAAUUUACCUCUGAAUCAGGAGGGGUAGAGUUAGACAUCUUUAAAAAUACUGAGUUACGUGCGGUAAAAGUCCUCUAUUUUGCCUUCAUUCUUUAGAUUAUAUAUUGUGGAAGAAAUGCAGGUAGGUUUUACUAUUGCCCCAAGGUUAUUCUUGAAUAAAGUGAGCAAAAUUCAAAACAGACC
This is a long non-coding RNA of Mercenaria mercenaria, 2403 nucleotides long. RefSeq lists it as uncharacterized. The record is from RefSeq and is a predicted model, not a curated record. The transcript is spliced from 6 exons. NCBI's taxonomy places the organism in Eukaryota, Metazoa, Mollusca, Bivalvia, Venerida, Veneridae.